RNAcentral lists this ribosomal RNA (497 nucleotides) under uncultured bacterium. RNAcentral's name for it is "partial 16S ribosomal RNA". It matches the Rfam family "Bacterial small subunit ribosomal RNA", at positions 28 to 507 of the family's 1533-position model. The record is from RNAcentral.
GAUGAACGCUGGCGGCGUGCCUAAUACAUGCAAGUCGAGCGAACAGACGAGGAGCUUGCUCCUCUGACGUUAGCGGCGGACGGGUGAGUAACACGUGGAUAACCUACCUAUAAGACUGGGAUAACUUCGGGAAACCGGAGCUAAUACCGGAUAAUAUAUUGAACCGCAUGGUUCAAUAGUGAAAGACGGUUUUGCUGUCACUUAUAGAUGGAUCCGCGCCGCAUUAGCUAGUUGGUAAGGUAACGGCUUACCAAGGCAACGAUGCGUAGCCGACCUGAGCGGGGGAUCGCCCACACGGGAACGGGGCCACGGUCAAGCCUCCUACGGGAGGCCGCAGUAGGGAAUCUUGCUCAAUGGGCGAAAGCCUGCCGGGCCACCGCGCCGUGGGUGAUGAAGGUCUUCGGACCGUAAACCCUUGUUAUUAGGGAAAAACAAAUGUGUAAUUAACUAUGCACGUCUUGACGGUACCUAAUCAGAAAGCCACGGCUAACUACGUG